GCCAUCAUUUAAAGAAAGCGUAAUAGCUCACUGGUCGAGUCGGCCUGCGCGGAAGAUGUAACGGGGCUAAACCAUGCACCGAAGCUGCGGCAGCGACACAACGUGUCGUUGGGUAGGGGAGCGUUCUGUAAGCCGUUGAAGGUCCACUGUGAGGUGGGCUGGAGGUAUCAGAAGUGCGAAUGCUGACAUAAGUAACGAUAAAGCGGGUGAAAAACCCGCUCGCCGGAAGACCAAGGGUUCCUGUCCAACGUUAAUCGGGGCAGGGUGAGUCGACCCCUAAGGCGAGGCUGAAAAGCGUAGUCGAUGGGAAACAGGUUAAUAUUCCUGUACGGGCCCGAAUUGCGAUGGGGGGACGGAGAAGGCUAGGCAAGCCGGGCGACGGUCGUCCCGGUUUAAGUGUGUAGGUGGGCUGACCAGGCAAAUCCGGUGAGCCACAACACUGAGGCACGAUGACGAGGCACUACGGUGCUGAAGUUGCUGAUGCCCCGCUUCCAGGAAAAGCCCCUAAGCUUCAGAUUCGGGUCCAUCGUACCCCAAACCGACACAGGUGGUCAGGUAGAGAAUACUCAGGCGCUUGAGAGAACUCGGGUGAAGGAACUAGGCAAAAUGGUGCCGUAACUUCGGGAGAAGGCACGCUGGCGUUAGGUGAAGGAACCUGCUUCCGGAGCCGAGGCCAGUCGCAGAUACCAGCUGGCUGCAACUGUUUAAUAAAAACACAGCACUGUGCAAACACGAAAGUGGACGUAUACGGUGUGACGCCUGCCCGGUGCUGGAAGGUUAAUUGAUGGGGUUAUCGCCUCGGCGAGAAGCUCUUGAUCGAAGCCCCAGUAAACGGCGGC
This 839-nucleotide ribosomal RNA is filed under the name Xenorhabdus griffiniae. Its description in RNAcentral is "bacterial LSU rRNA". It matches the Rfam family "Bacterial large subunit ribosomal RNA", at positions 1115 to 1934 of the family's 2925-position model. Lineage: Bacteria; Pseudomonadati; Pseudomonadota; Gammaproteobacteria; Enterobacterales; Morganellaceae. The record is from RNAcentral.